AAAAAUGAUAAUUCCCAAACUAAUUGUGAAUCAUAUCUCUAAAAAUAACAGUCACGCUGUCUGUUAUUGCAGAUCUGUGAGUUUCCAGAUGGAAGCACAGGUUCAGAUUCUUUCUUCCUUCAGCUGCUCGGCUCGUAUCUCCUCCGCAGCCGCAGCUUCCCUCAUCUUCUUACCAAAUUUAGCUUAGUGUCGAGGUUUCCAGCACUGCCAAACAGUCCUGCUGGCCUGCAGCGAUCAGCCUGCUCAGAGCUGUCUGUUAUCCAGCGCCGCCGUCGGCUGCUGCCAAGUUCCAGCACUUGUGCUCAGUUUGCUCCGUCCAGCUGGCCGACCACCUCCGGCCGUCACACAGACUUUACAGUGUGAGCAGACACUGACCCAGCUGGCUGCGGGGGUCACAGUUUCCUCACCUCUGACCCUAAAACCUUCAAAACUGUCGUAUCUUGUUAUAAUAAAUCUGUUUGGGCUGGAUUAAAAAUCCUGUGAUAUUAACACAUUGCAGGAUUUAAUUUCUAAGCGAUCAUUUGUGGAAAAAGAAGUUAUUUAGUGGUUUCCUAUAUUUCCCAGCAUGCCGUAUGGUAACCCUGUGUUGAGGAGUUUCAUGCUUUAAGCUGCUGGUUAGUUGCACAACUUAGAAACACAACAAUAAGAUGUAAAAAAAAAAUAUGUGAAAAGUAGCUUGUAUGUAGAGUUUGUAGUCCUAAUCAGGGUUAACACCGGGGUCAGAGGUCAGGUUAACCUCAAUCUGGUGGUGUUUUUUUUUUUUUUUUAAUGUAUGAAAUAAAGAUGAGAUUCUGGUGGAGAACCCGACUGGCUCAGCACCAGCAGACUGCACAGGACUGCUCUACAAAUAUGUUUUUGUGUGGUUGCUAAAAAUACUGUCGCUAUUUACAAAGUAAUCUAAUCUAACCCAGUUUCUGUUUUUAGAUAAUGCUUCUGUUGUUGAUCUUUCCAGCUCAUCCUUGAAACUUUUUGUCUGACCUGCUCUUCAGUUCAGCUCCUGUUGAGUCAGCUUCUCCACCUUCAACAGGCUGCUGAUUUAAGGUGGAACAGGCUGUUGAUUUAAGGUGAAACAGGCUGUUGAUUUAAGUUGAAACAGGCUGCAGAUUUAAGGUGAAACAGGCUGCAGAUUUAAGGUGAAACAGGCUGCAGAUUUAAGGUGAAACAGGCUGCAGAUUUAAGGUGAAACAGGCUGCAGAUUUAAGGUGAAACAGGCUGCAGAUUUAAGGUGAAACAGGCUGCAGAUUUAAGGUGAAACAGGCUGCAGAUUUAAGGUGAAACAGGCUGCAGAUUUAAGGUGAAACAGGCUGCAGAUUUAAGGUGAAACAGGCUGCAGAUUUAAGGUGAAACAGGCUGCUGAUUUAAGGUAUAAUCUAAAGAGGAGAUGGCGGUUGAUUCAUGGUGAAACAGGUUGUUAUUUUCAGGUUAUAUAGGACAUAAAUGUAUCCGGUUGAUCAGUUAUGGUUAUGCUCUGUGAAACAUUACUGAGACAGUUUUAAAGCAUCUUAAUUUGACUCAGCCAAGCUGCUGUCAGCUGUUUGAAUGUCACAAUAGAAACGUCUCAGAGUUCAGUGUUACUGCUCGACGUUUCCAAGAGACUCUUUCUGUUGGAACCACUGCAGCCAAAUCAGGAGACACUGCGAGUCUGUUUCUCCACCACAGACGGGAACAGAUGACACCACGCGGACUAAAACUCAGACUAAACACAAAGUGAAGACUGGAAAAGGAGUGAAGUAUUGUCUCACUAUUGGACAGUUUACAGAGAAGACAGACAGGAAGAUUACAGAGAGAGACAGAUGGAGGGGUGGUUCUUCCUGUGAACAGCUAAAUUUGGGACACAGACGUCACAUCUGGAUGUUUCCAGCUGCUCAGUAGAAAGUUAAAAUCUUUAUUUAUCUAAAACAGUUCAAGUUGCUCAGAAUCAGUCAGAAAAUAAAAACAAAUAUUUGAGCUGUAGUACCGAGUUUUACCACCAGGUGUCGUACGCUCCCGUUGGAACAUAACAAGAGUGGCAGCGUUCCUGCAAAUGUUUCACAAUAAAAGCCUUAUUAAGAAAUAAAUCGUUUUGUCUGAAAAUGCCAGAGGACUUUUAAUUUGAAACGGAUACAGGAAGUGCAGUGAAGUUGCACGUGCUCAGUAGCGAUUGGACACUCGCAAAUGGUGUUAGAGGAUGUGGAUGAAACAGGGUCGUAUUUAAAAGGAACAUCAAGUUAACUGUAGCCGUAGUGCCGCAACAAGAGCCGGCAGCAUCUCGCUGUCAUGACAAGGUUUUUCUUUUUGACAAAUAAAUACAAUUUUGGAAAUUACGAGAAUAAAGUCGUAAUAUUACGAGAAUAAAGUACAAAAGAAGCAA
Long non-coding RNA from Dicentrarchus labrax (European seabass), 2350 nucleotides. RefSeq lists it as uncharacterized. The record is from RefSeq and is a predicted model, not a curated record. The transcript is spliced from 2 exons. Lineage: Eukaryota; Metazoa; Chordata; Actinopteri; Moronidae.